Molecule: ribosomal RNA, 564 nt
Filed under: uncultured Phialocephala
Lineage: Eukaryota; Fungi; Ascomycota; Leotiomycetes; Helotiales
Description: eukaryotic LSU rRNA
Rfam family: 5.8S ribosomal RNA (bases 205-358)
Source: RNAcentral
UCCGUAGGUGAACCUGCGGAAGGAUCAUUACAAGUGAGGCUACCGAACGUUGGAAACAGCGGUUAGGAGCUUACACCCACCCGUGUCUACAUACUAUUGUUGCUUUGGCGGGCCGUGGCCUCCACUGCGGGCUCUGCUCGUGUGUGCCCGCCAGAGAACCAAACUCUGAAUGUUAGUGAUGUCUGAGUACUAUCUAAUAGUUAAAACUUUCAACAACGGAUCUCUUGGUUCUGGCAUCGAUGAAGAACGCAGCGAAAUGCGGUAAGUAAUGUGAAUUGCAGAAUUCAGUGAAUCAUCGAAUCUUUGAACGCACAUUGCGCCCUGUGGUAUUCCGCAGGGCAUGCCUGUUCGAGCGUCAUUUAACCACUCACGCCUAGCGUGGUAUUGGGGCACGCGGUCUCCGCGGCCCUCAAAAUUAGUGGCGGCGCCGGUGGGCUCUAAGCGUAGUACAUACUCCCGCUAUAGAGUUCCCCCGGUGGCUCGCCAGAACCCCCAAUUUUUACAGGUUGACCUCGGAUCAGGUAGGGAUACCCGCUGAACUUAAGCAUAUCAAUAAGCGGAGGA